UUUGGUAAUCAUAUUAAAUUAU
This 22-nucleotide small nuclear RNA is filed under the name Arabidopsis thaliana (thale cress). Its description in RNAcentral is "snRNA_17330". Lineage: Eukaryota; Viridiplantae; Streptophyta; Magnoliopsida; Brassicales; Brassicaceae. The record is from RNAcentral.